Molecule: ribosomal RNA, 326 nt
Filed under: uncultured eukaryote
Lineage: Eukaryota
Description: partial 18S ribosomal RNA
Rfam family: Eukaryotic small subunit ribosomal RNA
Source: RNAcentral
CCCUUAGAUGUCCUGGGCCGCACGCGCGCUACACUGAACGGAUCAGCGCGUUUUCCCUUCCCGAGAGGGACGGGUAACCUGCUGAACCCCGUUCGUGGUAGGGAUCGGGGCUUGCAAUUAUUCCCCGUGAACCAGGAAUGCCCAGUAAGUGCAAGUCAUAAGCUUGCGUUGAUUACGUCCCUGCCCUUUGUACACACCGCCCGUCGCACCUACCGAUUGAAUGGUCCGGUGAAAUCUUCGGAUCUGAGAGAUGUUGGAUUAAUUUCUGACGCCUUUUGGAAAAGUCGCUUAAACCUUAUCAUUUAGAGGAAGGUGAAGUCGUAACA